CACUGGUUUUUGAAUAUCCUGCCUGGUUUUUGGAAUAUCUCUUUUACUGAAUCAUCUACCGCUGUGCAUACUGGGAGAGUUACAAAGGAUGUUUCCCAGGGAUGACCAAAAAAAAUCUCAGUGUAACCCCAGCAAUGGACCUACUAGAAUACUGUGAGCUGGAAUGGAAAGGAAUGACACCUCAUGCUGAUCAAAUAAAGAAGGCCUAUGGAGAAAUCUACAGGGUACAUAAUAUCAGGUACAUUUGCAGAGUUCGUGGAGACAACUACUGUGCAUUGAGAGCGACACUGUUUCAGGUGCUCAGCAAUGGCAUACCCUUUCCAUCCUGGAUGAAAGAGCAGGAUAUCACAAAGGUACCUUU
Long non-coding RNA from Acipenser ruthenus (sterlet), 361 nucleotides. RefSeq lists it as uncharacterized. The record is from RefSeq and is a predicted model, not a curated record. NCBI's taxonomy places the organism in Eukaryota, Metazoa, Chordata, Actinopteri, Acipenseriformes, Acipenseridae. The transcript has 4 exons.